UACGAAGGGGGGCUAGCGUUGCUCGGAAUCACUGGGCGUAAAGGGUGCGUAGGCGGGUCUUUAAGUCAGAGGUGAAAUCCUGGAGCCUCAACUCCAGAACUGCCUUUGAUACUGAAGAUCUUGAGUUCGGGAGAGGUGAGUGGAACUGCGAGUGUAGAGGUGAAAUUCGUAGAUAUUCGCAAGAACACCAGUGGCGAAGGCGGCUCACUGGCCCGAUACUGACGCUGAGGCACGAAAGCGUGGGGAGCAAACAGG
RNAcentral lists this ribosomal RNA (255 nucleotides) under uncultured bacterium. RNAcentral's name for it is "partial 16S ribosomal RNA". It matches the Rfam family "Bacterial small subunit ribosomal RNA", at positions 524 to 776 of the family's 1533-position model. The record is from RNAcentral.